RNAcentral lists this ribosomal RNA (305 nucleotides) under uncultured bacterium. RNAcentral's name for it is "bacterial SSU rRNA". It matches the Rfam family "Bacterial small subunit ribosomal RNA", at positions 338 to 641 of the family's 1533-position model. The record is from RNAcentral.
CCUACGGGGGGCAGCAGUGAGGAAUAUUGGUCAAUGGGCGUAAGCCUGAACCAGCCAAGUCGCGUGAGGGAUGAAGGUUCUAUGGAUCGUAAACCUCUUUUAUAAGGGAAUAAAGUGUGGGACGUGUCCUGUUUUGUAUGUACCUUAUGAAUAAGCAUCGGCUAACUCCGUGCCAGCAGCCGCGGUAAUACGGAGGAUGCGAGCGUUAUCCGGAUUUAUUGGGUUUAAAGGGUGCGUAGGCGGAUUUUUAAGUCAGCGGUAAAAUGUCCGGGCUCAACCCGGGCCGGCCGUUGAAACUGGGGAUC